Molecule: transfer RNA, 77 nt
Filed under: Leeuwenhoekiella palythoae
Lineage: Bacteria; Pseudomonadati; Bacteroidota; Flavobacteriia; Flavobacteriales; Flavobacteriaceae
Also listed under: 2 other names
Description: tRNA_Ala_GGC
Rfam family: tRNA
About the family: Transfer RNA (tRNA) molecules are approximately 80 nucleotides in length. Their secondary structure includes four short double-helical elements and three loops (D, anti-codon, and T loops). Further hydrogen bonds mediate the characteristic L-shaped molecular structure. tRNAs have two regions of fundamental functional importance: the anti-codon, which is responsible for specific mRNA codon recognition, and the 3' end, to which the tRNAs corresponding amino acid is attached (by aminoacyl-tRNA synthetases). tRNAs cope with the degeneracy of the genetic code in two manners: having more than one tRNA (with a specific anti-codon) for a particular amino acid; and 'wobble' base-pairing, i.e. permitting non-standard base-pairing at the 3rd anti-codon position.
Source: RNAcentral
GGGGAUGUAGCUCAGUUGGCUAGAGUGCUUGACUGGCAGUCAAGAGGUCGUGGGUUCGAAUCCCAUCUUCUCCACAA